Molecule: transfer RNA, 69 nt
Filed under: Myllocerinus aurolineatus
Lineage: Eukaryota; Metazoa; Arthropoda; Insecta; Coleoptera; Curculionidae
Description: tRNA-Gln
Source: RNAcentral
UAUGUUUUAGUAUAUAAUGUAUAAAAGUUUUUGAUGCUUAAGGAAAUAUAUUAUUUCUAUUAAAUAUAA